This 331-nucleotide unclassified non-coding RNA is filed under the name soil metagenome. RNAcentral's name for it is "partial contains 5.8S ribosomal RNA, internal transcribed spacer 2, and large subunit ribosomal RNA". The stretch from base 1 to 120 matches the Rfam family "5.8S ribosomal RNA", at positions 35 to 154 of the family's 154-position model. The record is from RNAcentral.
GAUGAAGAACGCAGCGAAAUGCGAUAAGUAAUGUGAAUUGCAGAAUUCAGUGAAUCAUCGAAUCUUUGAACGCACAUUGCGCCCCCUGGUAUUCCGGGGGGCAUGCCUGUUCGAGCGUCAUUUCACCACUCAGGCCUCGCUUGGUAUUGGGCAACGCGGUCCGCCGCGUGCCUCAAAUCGACCGGCUGGGUCUUCUGUCCCCUAAGCGUUGUGGAAACUAUUCGCUAAAGGGUGCUCGGGAGGCUACGCCGUAAAACAAACCCAUUUCUAAGGUUGACCUCGGAUCAGGUAGGGAUACCCGCUGAACUUAAGCAUAUCAAUAAGCGGAGGA